Molecule: ribosomal RNA, 459 nt
Filed under: uncultured bacterium
Lineage: Bacteria
Description: partial 16S ribosomal RNA
Rfam family: Bacterial small subunit ribosomal RNA
Source: RNAcentral
CCUACGAGAGGCAGCAGUGAGGAAUAUUGGUCAAUGGGCGGGAGCCUGAACCAGCCAAGCAGCGUGAGGGAAGAAGGUACAGCGUAUCGUAAACCUCUUUUGUCAGGGAACAAAGGCGGGGACUAGUCCCCGGAUGAGGGUACCUGAAGAAAAAGCAUCGGCUAACUCCGUGCCAGCAGCCGCGGUAAUACGGAGGAUGCGAGCGUUAUCCGGAUUUAUGGGGUGUAAAGGGUGCGCAGGCGGCCUGUUAAGGCAGCGGUAAAAGCACGGGGCUCAACCCCGGCGAGCCGGUGAAACUGGCGGGCUGGAGUUGGAGAGAAGUACGCGGAAUGCGCGGUGUAGCGGUGAAAUGCUUAGAUAUCGCGCAGAACCCCGAUUGCGAAGGCAGCGUACCGGCUCCACACUGACGCUGAGGCACGAAAGCGUGGGUAUUGAACAGGAUUAGAUACCCCGGUAGUC